GGAAUUUUGCGCAAUGGACGAAAGUCUGACGCAGCAACGCCGCGUGAGGGAUGAAGGCCUUCGGGUUGUAAACCUCUUUUCUCAGGGAAGAUAAUGACGGUACCUGAGGAAUAAGCCACGGCUAACUACGUGCCAGCAGCCGCGGUAAUACGUAGGUGGCGAGCGUUGUCCGGAUUUACUGGGCGUAAAGAGCGCGCAGGCGGUCGUACAAGUCGCGUGUGAAAGCCCCCGGCUCAACUGGGGAGGGUCACGCGAUACUGUUCGACUCGAAGGCAGGAGAGGGAAGUGGAAUUCCCGGUGUAGUGGUGAAAUGCCUAGAUAUCGGGAGGAACACCAGUGGCGAAGGCGACUUCCUGGCCUGUUCUUGACGCUGAGGCGCGAAACCUAGGGUAGCAAACG
This 399-nucleotide ribosomal RNA is filed under the name uncultured bacterium gp16. RNAcentral's name for it is "bacterial SSU rRNA". It matches the Rfam family "Bacterial small subunit ribosomal RNA", at positions 358 to 774 of the family's 1533-position model. The record is from RNAcentral.